AUGAUAGUUGAAAUGUUAUUAAAGUUGUAUAUUAAAAAGGAAGAAAUUGUAGAUACCGGUAAUGGUGUUACUUCUUAUAAUACAAGUAAUAAUGCCACUAAGGGUAUUCUUAAUUAUAUUUUAGGUUCAAAAGAAAAGUAUUGUAAUAAAGAAAUAAAUGAAAACAUGAGAAGUGACAAUAUGGAUGAGGAUGGUAACAGUUUGAAUUGUAUAACUGCUGGUACUAAUAUCGGUGGUACUAAUAUCGGUGGUAAUAACAUCGGUGGUACUAAUAUCGGUGGUAAUAAUUUAACAAAAGAUAAUUCCGUGAUAAAUAACUCGGUAAAAAAUAAUAUAUAUCAUUCAUUAUCAUUUACGUAUAUAUUUUUAACCUUUUUUAAAAAGUGUACAAAUAUAAAUAUUUGUGAUUCUAUUUUCCGAGUUAGAAACAGUAAUAUACCUAAAAUGAUUAUAAAAGAAUUAAUAGAAUAUAUAAAAGAUAAUUCCUUAUUAUUUUUAAAUAUGAGUUCACAAACACAUGUACAAAAUGAAAUGAUUAAUGUAUUAAACUUUCUUGAAUAUAUUUCUAAAAACUUAAGUUUUCAUUUACUCUUUUUUUUAAAAGAUUUAGUAGAUAUGCUAGGUAUCGAUAUUUAUUAUAUAAGGAAAUCCAUUUUUGAAAUUUUUAAAAAUUUUAUAAUUUUAGCUAAAGCAUAUGAAGAAAUUAAGGAAAGUAAUAUUACUGACUCAGAUGAUAAUAAAAAUGUAAAAAAGAAAUAUAACCUGAUUAGUUCGGAUGAAGAUAGUGAUGCUGUUAACAUGGGUGAUGGAUGUUAUGAUAGUGACUAUAUCAGUAGCAGAAGCAGUGAUACCACUAGUAGUAGUAGUAGUAGUAGUAGUAGCAGUGAUUUUUUUAGUACAGACGAAUUUGUUGAAGCGAUAGAGGAAGAGAAUGAGAAAAAUGAAGAGAAAAGUGAAGACGAAAAUUUAAACCAUUUACAAGGAAGUGUAAAAGAUAAACAAACAAAAAAAAAUGAAUUAACGAAGAAUAAAAGAAAAAUAAAUAACAAGAAAAAAAAUAAUAAAAAAGAUAGUAAGCAUGUAAAAGAUAAAAAAAAAAAAAUGAACAGUAAUAAAAGCAAAAAAGAGCGUGAAAAGAGGAAAAGGAAAAAAAUGAAAAAUAUUUUAAAUUCUUUUCAAUUAAAUAUAAAUGAAAAUAGUAUUAGUACAACUUAUAAAGAUAUCAUUCAUAAGAUAAUAAUCAAUGAUAUAAAUUUUUUACAAUUAUGUUUUAAGGAAUGUUUAAAAAAUCGUUCUUUUAUUAUGAACGUAUUAAUGUCACGACAAUAUGAUUCGAAAUUACAUGUCCGGUGUCAUUUGUUAAAAAUAUUACAAGAGUUAAUUGAACAUAAUUUUAUUCCUUUAAAUUAUUAUAAUAAUUUAUGUUUACUAAGUAGUGAAAGGAUAAAUGAUAGAUCUCCGCUAGUACGACAAAGAGCUUUUGCUUUACUUUCUUGUAUAUCCAGUGAUGUUGUAAAGAAUAAAUAUGUAAUACCGUUAAACACGAAUAAAAUAAAAAAAGAAUUAAAUUUUUUGAAUAAAAGAAAGUACAUGUUAAAAAGAAAAAACAGAAAACAAAGAAAAAUGAGAGAAGAGAAUAAUAAAGACGCUGAACAAUAUUGUGAGUCCUCGUUGAAUCAUACACAUGAAGAAUCGAAAGUUUUUAAGAAGGAUGAUGAUAAGUACUAUAAAAUUGAUAAUAUAGGAAAUAACAUUAAUAAAGCUAAGAUUAAAAAAAAAGUAGAUAAAAGUAGAAAGAUUAAUUUGUCUAUGAGUGACGACGGGAGUGGCAAUGGGAGUGGUAGUGAUGGUGGUAGUAGUGGUGGUAGUAGUAGUAGUGGUGGUGGUAGUAGUAGUAGUAGAAGUAGUGGUGGUACAGGUAGUGAUAGCGAUGGAGAUGGAGAUGGUGGUGGCAACAACUGUAAAAACAAUAAGAUUACAGAAAGUAGUAAUAAAGACAUGAAUAAUAACAAUUAUGAAAGUAAAUAUGAUUUAUUAAUAAAAAUGUAUAAUGAAGUUUUAUUUAUUUCUAUGAUUGUAGAUACUUGUGUAGAUGUUUGUUUUAAGUUGUUAUAUUCAAUAGUAGAGACUGAUCAAAAAAACUCUGUUAAGUUUAUUAUUUUAGCGCAUAUAUGUGGGAAUAAAAAAGCAGAAGAACAAAUAAAUAAAGUUUGGUCAUUAAUUUUUAGUAACAAUAAUAGUAUUGUUGAAAUGAUUAUAACUGAAUUUAUUAGUUUAAAUAUAAAUAGUGAUAAUUAUAGAAUUAGUGCAUUUCGAUUGAUAAAUAUAAUUUUGAAUAGUAAAUUAAAAGAUGUAUCAUGUAUUGAAAAAAUUAUAGAAUGUUUGUUAAUGCAAGAUAAAACAACUGUAAGUAUAAGUAAGUUAUUAGAUGAAUUAUUUAUAAUUACUUUUGUAGAUACGUUUAGUGAAAAUAAAAAUUUAAUAAUAAAAGAAGGUGCAUUAAUACUUCUUAAAAUUUUAUGUUAUUCUAUUCACAGAGUAAACAAAAAAAAAGGUAAAAAAGAACAAUAUUUUGUUUUUAGUAAUAAAAGAAAACAUUAUAUAAUUUUAUUUAUAAAUGAAUAUAAACAUAAUUUACAUUUUUUAAAUUUGUUAAUUUUGAUUUUGAAAUAUAACAAAACUAAUAAAAUUAUUCAAAGUUUAUUAAUUAUUUUGUUUAAUUUGAUUUUUGAUAAUAUAUCUUGUUAUGAUAAAAAUGAGCAUGGAAAGGAGUAUGGAACGGAGUAUAGAUAUGAGUAUGGGAGAAAAGAUGAUGAAAAUGGAUGGAAUAAUUCGAACCUUUUAACUGGUAAUAAUAUGAAUCAAGAUAAAGGUAGUAUAAAAAAUGGUGAUAAUGGAAGAGAUAAAUUAAAUGAUUGUUUUAGUAAUGAAAAUAAUAAUUGUAAUAAAAAAGAAAAAGAAAUAUAUUUAAAUUGUAAUUAUUUAAAAGAUAAAAAUAAUAUAUGGUUUAUAUGUUGUCAGUCGAUAGUCGAAAGUAUGUAUGAACAUUUUGAUGAUUUUUUAUUAAUUUUUACAACAAAAAUAAAAAAUAUAUUAAACAGUUUAUUUAAAGAGAAAAAUAAUAAUUUGCAUAUAAAUAUCGAAGUGAAUAGAACCGAUGAUCAAUUAAAAAAAAAACAUAACAAAACAGAAUGA
RNAcentral lists this long non-coding RNA (3195 nucleotides) under Piliocolobus tephrosceles (Ugandan red Colobus). Its description in RNAcentral is "lncRNA (ENSPTEG00000003621.1)". The record is from RNAcentral. Lineage: Eukaryota; Metazoa; Chordata; Mammalia; Primates; Cercopithecidae.